UACGUAGGGGGCGAGCGUUGUCCGAAGUUACUGGGCGUAAAGCGCGCGUAGGCGGUUUCUUAAGUCUGGGGUGAAAGGUUCAGCGCUCAACGCGAACAGUGCCUUGGAUACUGGGAGACUUGAGUCUGGGAGGGGGCAGUGGAAUUCCUGGUGUAGCGGUGAAAUGCGUAGAUAUCGGAAGGAACAUCAGUGGCGAAAGCGACUUCCUGGACCAAUACUGACGCUCAUGUGCGAAAGCGUGGGGAGCAAACAGG
RNAcentral lists this ribosomal RNA (254 nucleotides) under uncultured bacterium. RNAcentral describes it as "partial 16S ribosomal RNA". It matches the Rfam family "Bacterial small subunit ribosomal RNA", at positions 524 to 776 of the family's 1533-position model. The record is from RNAcentral.